Molecule: ribosomal RNA, 253 nt
Filed under: uncultured bacterium
Lineage: Bacteria
Description: partial 16S ribosomal RNA
Rfam family: Bacterial small subunit ribosomal RNA
Source: RNAcentral
UACGUAGGUGACCAGCGUUGUCCGGAUUUACUGGGCGUAAAGAGCGCGCAGGCGGUCGUUCAAGUCGAGUGUGAAAGCCCCCGGCUCAACUGGGGAGGGUCAUUCGAUACUGAUCGACUCGAAGGCAGGAGAGGGAAGCGGAAUUCCCGGUGUAGUGGUGAAAUGCGUAGAUAUCGGGAGGAACAUCAGUGGCGAAGGCGGCUUCCUGGCCUGUUCUUGACGCUGAGGCGCGAAAGCUAGGGGAGCAAACGGG